UUACUAUUUGUAGACGUUAAAGAACAAAAGGUUCGUGGCCGUAACCACGUUAAAAAACGUA
Molecule: non-coding RNA, 61 nt
Organism: Anoxybacillus sp. BCO1
Lineage: Bacteria; Bacillati; Bacillota; Bacilli; Caryophanales; Anoxybacillaceae
Source: Rfam